RNAcentral lists this ribosomal RNA (573 nucleotides) under uncultured Acidobacteriota bacterium. RNAcentral's name for it is "bacterial SSU rRNA". It matches the Rfam family "Bacterial small subunit ribosomal RNA", at positions 469 to 1036 of the family's 1533-position model. Lineage: Bacteria; Pseudomonadati; Acidobacteriota. The record is from RNAcentral.
AUGACGGUACCGUUUGUAAGCUCCGGCUAACUCCGUGCCAGCAGCCGCGGUAAUACGGGGGGAGCAAGCGUUGUUCGGAUUUACUGGGCGUAAAGGGCGCGUAGGCGGCCAGUGCAAGUCAGUUGUGAAAUCUCCGGGCUUAACCCGGAAAGGUCAACUGAUACUGCUCGGCUAGAGUGCGGAAGGGGCAACUGGAAUUCUUGGUGUAGCGGUGAAAUGCGUAGAUAUCAAGAGGAACACCUGCGGCGAAGGCGGGUUGCUGGGCCGACGCUGACGCUGAAGCGCGAAAGCUAGGGGAGCGAACGGGAUUAGAUACCCCGGUAGUCCUAGCCUUAAACGAUGAAUGCUUGGUGUCUGGGGUUUUAUAGUCCCCGGGUGCCGUCGCUAACGCUUUAAGCAUUCCGCCUGGGGAGUACGGUCGCAAGACUGAAACUCAAAGGAAUUGACGGGGACCCGCACAAGCGGUGGAGCAUGUGGUUUAAUUCGACGCAAUGCGAAGAACCUUACCUGGGCUAGAAUGCCUCUGACAGCCCCAGAGAUGGGGUCUCUUGGGUAAAACCAGGCAGAGUGCAA